AGUUACAAUAUCUACCAGCAGGGGCUAACUGUGCAGCCAAACCUGUAACUAGGAAGAAAACAUUAUCCUCCAGGAAGUGACAUCAUCAUUUUAGAGGGAAAACAGAAGGCACAAAUAUUAAAUCUCGUGUGAAGCGUUGUUAAUUGAGAGCCUCCCGAGACCCCUGCUAGUUUGAGAAGAACCAAACGAAAUGGGAUUGUUGUCUUGGGAACAGCAGAGGAGAUGGGAAGAGCCCAGGGGAGACGCAUUGAAGAGCGGAGGCCAGGCAGGCCAUGACAGCGCUGCUACAAACCUUUUAGGCUGUCUGCUCGCAGCUCAGACUCUAUUGGAUUUGGCUCAUGUGCCCCGUCUAACGCUUUGAGAGCUGCACUAAUGUGCUGUCAGCCGUUCCACACACACUCCCUCUGGUGUGAUGCGCUCUCCCGUCUGGACAACUGUUGCGUCUGCCAAAUUUGACCAGGACCCAGACGAGGGCUUCGACACAAGUAACUGAGCACCUGCUGGUAUGAUCCUCAUCUUCA
This is a non-coding RNA of Pimephales promelas (fathead minnow), 521 nucleotides long. Lineage: Eukaryota; Metazoa; Chordata; Actinopteri; Cypriniformes; Leuciscidae. The record is from RefSeq and is a predicted model, not a curated record.